CCGGCAUACUGUGUGUGUGCUGUCCUCAGAUGUAAAAUAUUCCACGGGAUUUAUAUUAGCCAGCACGGAACUCUUAUUCAAGCUGGCUAAUGACACUUAAUGGUGCAGCUGGAGGUAGAGUUACACCUCUUGCAACAGAGUGGUUAAUAUCUGUAUGUGCAGCACUUCAUACCAAUGCUGCUCAUACAGACUCCAGGCACCAUGACUACUUCAAAUCACUGAUGUGGUCAUAGUGCAAGAAGUAACCUUUUAAAAAGGUUUCCAUUUAAAUUAAUGGGAGUCCAGGGAUAGCCCAGCACUAACAUCCUGGAUGAUACUAUGGGUAGUGCAGAAGGAGCAGAACCUCUUAGAAGACCACCAAAAGAGUGACAUGUGGAGAAAACUCUUAUGUAUGUAUUUCUUAAUUUAAGGUGCAUAUUUUUGGCAUCCUGGACAGUCAGAGCAAUACUAUUUUUACACGUAGGAGAACAUAAUUUAGUUCUAAAUUAAAUUUAAACCUAUAUUAACAAGCAAAAC
Non-coding RNA from Pelobates cultripes (western spadefoot toad), 516 nucleotides. NCBI's taxonomy places the organism in Eukaryota, Metazoa, Chordata, Amphibia, Anura, Pelobatidae. The record is from the annotation of a GenBank genome assembly.